Molecule: non-coding RNA, 6757 nt
Organism: Caretta caretta (loggerhead turtle)
Lineage: Eukaryota; Metazoa; Chordata; Testudines; Cheloniidae
Source: RefSeq, a predicted model, not a curated record
CCCAGCUUAGCUGAAGCACUGUUCUCCAGGGACUGACUGUCAGUACUGAGUGAGAAGAGGAUAACAUGGGACAGAGACACUGGGUCAGGACCACCAAAUGCCAGCUGAUAGUGACCAGCCUCUUUGUCAUGCUGCUGGGGCUGGCAGUCACCAUACUGACCAUUAUCACCCACUAUGGGGCUCACUUCAGUGUAAUCAGUGGGGUCUCCUCUGAGGCUAACCCCUAUAGAAUCUUCCACAAUGUCGCAUUCUACAGCGGGAUAUGUCUGACCAUGAUUCUGGUCCUUGCAGCCCUGCUGAGUACUGUUGCCACAGUGAGAGAAUCGGUGUGCCUCAUGGCAAUGGAUUCAACUGAGGCGGGGGACCUUGACUUAGGCUGUGUCUACACUACCAUGGGAUUCUUCUGUUUUGCCAUUGUUUUCUGUGCACUGAUACAGGCUGCGUUCUGGAGAUACACCAACAACAGUGAGGUAGAAGAUGCCAUGAUGGAUGUGUAUGAUUCUGUGUACGAGGAAGUGAGGAGGAACUUGUCCAGCUUCAGGAGGCAGGAACUAGCUACCAUCCAUGAAACAUUUCUGUGCUGUGGAAAGCAGUCACCCUUUGGAGAAACAGGAGGCAUUGAAAAGGAGACAUGUCCAUCAGAACCUAUGGGCACAGCCAGAGCGGAUUGCCUCCAAGAGAUCCAAGACUUCCUAAAAAAACAUAUGGACUUCGUCUCUGUGCUGCUGAUCAUCACAAUCUGCUUCAUGGUAGCUACCUUCCGUCCUUUGGUACCCUAAUUUUCUGAACAAGCUGAGGCAGGGACAGUUCAGUGGCUUGAGAGGGCAGGUCACAUUGAAAACCUUGCGUGCAGGAGACAGGUUUCUUGAUAUGGCGGUGAUAAGCCAGCAGCCUGGAGUUUAGUAACAAAGGAAAUAACCUUGAUGAUGUGAUUCACCACAGAGACUAGGGGAGGAGCUAUCCAAUCAGGCUGCCAGUCAGACUGAGGAAUCACAGCCAGUUCUCUGCUGGAACAAGCUCGCUAAAUUCCUGGCAGCCAUAGGUUCUGUGCUGAGCUUGGGGAAUAGGUCUGGAAAUUGGCUUCCUCAGAAUUUGAAUCCCAUUGUCUAGGGUGUCGAGUCUAAGCAUUUUGUCCUGUGGCUGAGGAUGUGCCAUGGUCUAACCACCACAUGAUCUAACAUUACUUUGUGGUGUUUAGAGCUGGUCAAAAUAUUGUCAUCAAACAUUUUUGGACCAAAAAUAUCUUUUCAACCAAAGGAAACAUUGCCACAGAAAAUGUUCAUGUUGGUCAAAAAUUUUCAGUGUUUUAAAGGAAAAACCAAAAUUAUUUUGGUAAAAGUUUGAUCUCUUUGAAAACUUAUAUGAAAACCCAGAUACUUUUACCAAAAAUGUCUUUUUUUUAAUGGCAAAUUUUUUGUUGUUUAAAAAAAGUAUAAAUUGAAAACUCAUCAUGGGAAAUAUCUUUAAAAAAAUUAAAAUCUCCCAAAAUCAAGUUUCCUACAAAAAAUAAUCAUUGGCAGUUGUAGCCAGCUGUGAUGUUACUGUUAGAUAUGCAAGACAGCAGCUUCCUGCAGGAAGAAGUUGUGGAAGCUCGGCCUGUUAUACACAGGACGUCAGCUGCCUCCCAGCUGAGGCACCGAGGCCAGGUAUCAGGUGAUAACUUGAAGAUCAUCUGGUAUUAGGUGAGCCAGCAAGUAGCUCAGUUGAGCUGGAGAGCUGCAGGGAGUAGAAAGGCUGCUGCUGAGGACAGAACCCAGUUCAUGAGACACUCUGGCAGAUGGCCUGUGUAAUCUUGUGGGGAACAGGCUAGGAAGAAGGAACCAGAGACUUGUCUUGACUCCCAGGCAUUCUGUGAAGUGUAAUCCUGUACGGAGUAGACUGGCCUCUGCAGAAGACCACAGGUCAGGAGAAAAGACGUGAUUCGUGUGCUGAACAGUUAUUUAUUUUUGAAUAACACUGAAGUCCUGUAGAAGAAGGGGCAGAGGAAUCCUGUGGCUGGAGAGUGUUAUUGGUGCAUGAGCAGCUGAGAUGGGAACCCACUGCCUUACAGAUAUGCAGGCAUGGUGCAUCUGGCCAAUGGUUGGAAAAUGCUGCUAAUAGAACAAGCCUGUUCUUGUGUCUAGUCACCGCUUGGCAGACACAACAUACAUUAAUUACUUUUACACGGAGGUCCUGCACUUGUAAUAAGACAUGCCAGAGGAGAAUACUGACCUUCAGACCUGUUCCAUGUACAGAAUAUUAAGUUCCACGUGCUCUAAUAGCUCUCGAGUUGAACUUCAGUUACUGAAGCAAGAUUUUUCUGACCAGCUCUGUGCGUAUAGUUGGUUUCAGACUUGUCCCGAUCGCCCUUAAAUCUACCGAGGCUCACUGUGCAAUGCGGAGUUGUUAUAGCUAACUUGCUAGACAUGAGUGGAUGACUCUGACCUAAAUCCAUGGUUGUAAUACACUCCAGGGCUCGCCUGGACUGUGAACGCUGUAUGAAAGCAGCAAGAGUUCACAAAGUGAAUCACACCUGCCUGCCAACUCCUGCAUUGAAUAUCAGUUUGUCUUUCAAUACCGAUGGAAUAAAUAUUUGCCCUUUUUAAAGUUCACUGACUUGCCCAAGGUGUUAGUCUUAGCUAUUCUCCUCUGAAUUGCUGUGUCAGAGGAUGGAAGAUCAGCAGUGGGUAGAACUCUCAUACUAUUGCGGGAAGAUGGCACAUGAAAUCGUGGCACAGGAGCAGAUGAUGCCUGACCUGCUGAAUUCUGAUAGGCUGAGAAAACCCUUCUACUUCAGCCAAUUAGAAUACAAACAUAACCCUAAAAUUGCAAAUCAUAAAGGUUUAUGGGAUGAUUUUAACUUCAUUCCUUUGGUUCUCCAUCUGCUUCAGCAACAAUCUGGACCGGAAAGGCAAAUAUAUUUUCAGAGAGACCUAGAAAACAGUCGCCCAGCUUCCCCACAAGAGCAAGGAUUUCCAACCCUUGAAUUGGGAAACCAUCCAAAAGUUAUCCACAGAGUUCCCUGAGAAGCUGUGGCUAGGUGACUGGAGUUGGGCCUUAGACCUUCAUGUUUCCCUUUACUGCAUUACCUGCUUCUUCUGCAUUGCCAGCUGACUAGUGGGAAUGAUCAUCGGGCAGCACAGGAGAGGAAGAUGUGACAUUUUCUGUAAAGACCGACAGAGAGUGUGACAGGCAGCUAGCUGGGGAAUCAGAGCCAUGUAGAGACACAGAUAGGCAUGUUUAGCAUUCUUGUGAGAUGUGGAUGGUAGCAAGGAACCAGCCAGCCCCUCACCCAGAAAACCACCCAUCCCAGCUAGCCAAAAACCAAACCCUGAUCCAGUCACUUCUGCCACUGCCUGAAAACUGACAGUUUGAAACUCCGUCAGAGUGCCAAAACAUAUCCCAGCAACAAAGAAACUAAAAUACCAUCAAGAAGGAAAAGAAGUCCAGUUAAUACCCCUCAGCCAGGAGAACGUCCUCUCAGCCAUAGCCAAAACAAAUGCACCAUGCCAAUCAAUCCCUCCACAAAUCUUGGCAAAACAGCCACUUACAUUUAAUCCCCCACACACGCACACACACACAAUCCCCACACCACCACCAAAUAACCAAUUGCCCCUGGGAGAAAGAAAUGCAUUAGAGGACACACAGGAUAAGUAACUUAAUUCAACUAAUUAUCCACCAAGUUUCCCACAGUCCAUUCUGUUCCUGAACUACAAACUGGAGAACUAAUGUAAAUUUAUAAAUGUGUUUGCCAAAACAAAAUUUAAAAAACAAAUAAGAAAUUACGGAAAGUAAAAUAAAGACGGUAGCAUUUAAAGGAACUUCAACAUGGGAUGUUACAAUGUAUCACAAGAUAACCAAUCAAAUAAAUAAAUUCAUGCGGAGUACUCUGAAAAACUGGGCACUAGUUUUCUCAAAGAGGGCACCCAAAAUUAGUUUACAUUUCUGACAAUUUGGCUUUAAUCUCUGAGACUCAGUUAACUCAAGGUCCUAUCAGUCUUGUUACAUGGACAAACUUUAUCCUAAAUUUACACUAUUCUCACCAUGUGACUACCACUGUGGAACUAUGGAUGCUUAAGUAAAGAUCCUUAUCAAUCUACCAAUAUGCUUAUGUGUCAAUGGGAUUAUGGGACUGCCCAUGGCAGUUCAACCAAAUCUCUCUAGAGUUAGAAUAUAGAAAUUUGAACAAGUUACGUAUCAAAGUCAAUUUGAUUAAAAAUUGCUUUGCCUUGGUGAUAUUCAUAGCUAAACUCUUUCCAUUAUGCACAUAUUCAAUAUUAUAAUGCACCAAAUCCCACAUAUAUGUUUCAUGGAAUAAUUUUAAAGCUAUUUGUAAUUUCUCUGGAAGCUCACAAAUACUGUAAACCCUUUAACCAAAUAUUCAGCGGUGGCAAAAGUCUUGAGCUUAACUAGACAAUUCAAAAUUCUUUUUCUCUUCUCUAAGAAGUUGUCAGUUUCUUGUGACUGCAAAAGAUGGUCUAGGGCUUCUCCACAUGACGACUUAGUGCACGGUAAACUGGGGUAUAAAUCUACAAUGGCACUAGCCUGCUGCUCACCAACUGGGUGUGUGGACACAGCUGCCAUGCACUCUUUUUGCUGCGUGUGUCAAACAGCAGUAGUUCAAAGCACACUGCAGAACUUUUAAUGGACGGUAGCAGGGUCCAUACAGCCGGUUACUACACAGCAGGCUUGUACCCUGUGGAUUUACACCCCAGCUUGCCAUGCAUGAAGACCUGGUUCUAAAAGUUACAUCAGUAUAGCUAUGUCAGUGAAAAAAACCACACUCCUGAUGGACAUAGCUAUGCCGACAUACCCCCACCCCCACCCCCGUGGACGCCACUAGUUGAUGGAAGAGGUCUUCCAUCAACAUCACUAGCAUUGGUUGGGGAGGAGGUGUUCCUACACCAGCAGAAAAACCCCUUCUGUCGCUGUAGGCUGGAUUACAUGACGAGGCUGUGGUGCUAUAGUCUGCGUAGUGUAGACAUACCAUCGGUCUCUGUGUGGACAAGCACCUAGGCUGAUUGCUUUAACAUGCUCUUAAUCUUUCUGAGAGGCAUCUUUGCUGUACCCAGGCAUGAUUUCCUGUUACAAAUAAUACUUUGCUCAGUGCAAUGAGUUCUUCUAGCCUCGACAUUCUCAGUUACUUGUUGACUUAGGGCCAGAUUUUUAAAGAUAGUUAGGAGCCUAAAGAUGCAGAUAAGCACCUAGCGGGAUUUUCAAAAGCACCUAGGUGCUGAAUGCCCAUUUAUUUCCCAUCUUUUGUUUCCCAAGACAUCAGGUGUUAGCAGAGAGGGGGUGCUCUCAGUAGCCACCUGAUGACAGUCCCGCUCUCAUGCAAUCUCAUCCAGAUGUUUCGGUUUCUGUGAGCAAAUUGCUGAACAGAGCUGUUUUGUACAGUUUCUGAUGAGCCAUGGGGCCUGGCUCCUCUUCCAGGUAAAGUUGAUGUGGGCUAAUUAGAAAGCAAACCUCAUUUCUGAUAGGUUUCAGAGUAGCAGCCGUGUUAGUCUGUAUUCGCAAAAAGAAAAGGAGGACUUUUGGCACCUUAGAGACUAACCAAUUUAUUUGAGCAUAAGCUUUCGUGAGCUACAGCUGAAUCAGAUGAAGUGAGCUGUAGCUCACGAAAGCUUAUGCUCAGAUAAAUUGGUUAGUCUCUAAGGUGCCACAAGUACUCCUUUUCUUUUUGCUCAUUUCUGAUGACAUUCUGAAACAUCCAACCAGACAAGUAGCUUGGGACAUACCAGUUUGCACUAUACAUUUUAGGACAUAUAUCAGCUUGCAACAUCCUUUGCCACCAAUUGUGCCUUUAGUGUGAUACUCUUUUAAGACAAUUGUUAGUCCAGGCUCCAGUCAGCAAUCUGCUUCCACAAACUGCUUUUGUAGGUUCCCCUUGCGGUGUAUCUUGAACAACUUUGCACAGCACCACCUUCUUUCCCAGGCCACAGUUUCUCCAUCAGCAUAUUUAGAAGUCUGCACAGAUACCCACUUUCAAACUCCUGUAUUUAUAGAGAGUCUCAUGACAUUCCUUGGUAAUUGUGUAGUUGUUUAGUUGGUCAUUAUGCAGCAAUGUAAACUUACUUGACCCAUUUUCUUGGUUCAACACCAAUAAUUUUGAUGGUAAUGAAACAAUAAGACAAAACAGCUGUACAUGUCUCUGUACCAAUUUGUGUUUAUAUCCCACACAUCAGUGAUAAGGUCGGUAAGGUCACUUUAUCUGUUAAAUCAUUUCAGUUUAUCUACUUGCUAAACUGUUUAUCACACUUCUUGGUCAUUUAGUCCUUAUAACUAUUUGGACAGGGUCACCAUAAAGAUUUUCACUUCACCUUGGCUGUUCAAUAUGCUAAUUGACUGUAUCAUCUUUUUUUAGCAUAAAAUAACAAGGUGUUUGUAUGUUUGUAAAUUAUUAGUUAGAUAUUUCUUAUUAAUUACAUUCCUAAUUUAAAAAGGAAGCAUUGUCCUAACUAUUUGAAAUAUCUUGUGAUUACAGCUCCUUUUGGCAAGGAACUUGCUGAAACUGCAAGGGUCAAUUUCAGAAUGCUUUAGAUUACUUUAAAGCUACAGAUGGGGGCAUAUCCUCAGCUGAGGAUUUGCCCCAUUGUUUGUUUCAGUCAACCUCUGAUCUAUAUGACAGACAAUUAUAAUACUAUGCUACCAAAUUAAACAUAAACUGAUGUACUGUGUGUGUGUCACUGUCAAAGCUAAUGCUGUGGUUAUCCCAAAGGCCAGCUGGAAAGUCAUAUGACUCUUGACUACUUCAAUAAAAAUGUAUGUCAUGGCAAAA